Molecule: transfer RNA, 65 nt
Filed under: Cricetulus griseus (Chinese hamster)
Lineage: Eukaryota; Metazoa; Chordata; Mammalia; Rodentia; Cricetidae
Rfam family: tRNA
About the family: Transfer RNA (tRNA) molecules are approximately 80 nucleotides in length. Their secondary structure includes four short double-helical elements and three loops (D, anti-codon, and T loops).
Source: Rfam by way of RNAcentral
AGUGUAGCUUGGUGGUAAAGCCCUUGCCUCUCAUGCAUGAGGCCCUGGGUUCGAGCCCCAGCACU